CGGGUGAGUAACACGUAUCCAACCUGCCGUCUACUCUUGGACAGCCUUCUGAAAGGAAGAUAAUACAAGAUGGCAUCAUGAGUCCGCAUGUUCACAUGAUUAAAGGUAUUCCGGUAGACGAUGGGGAUGCGUUCCAUUAGAUAGUAGGCGGGGUAACGGCCCAGCUAGUCUUCGAUGGAUAGGGGUUCUGAGAGGAAGGUCCCCCACAUUGGAACUGAGACACGGUCCAA
This 230-nucleotide ribosomal RNA is filed under the name uncultured bacterium. RNAcentral's name for it is "partial 16S ribosomal RNA". It matches the Rfam family "Bacterial small subunit ribosomal RNA", at positions 103 to 334 of the family's 1533-position model. The record is from RNAcentral.